Long non-coding RNA from Spinacia oleracea (spinach), 227 nucleotides. RefSeq lists it as uncharacterized. Lineage: Eukaryota; Viridiplantae; Streptophyta; Magnoliopsida; Caryophyllales; Amaranthaceae. The transcript has 3 exons. The record is from RefSeq and is a predicted model, not a curated record.
AUUCUGUCAGCUGUCUCAUUUGUUGCUGCGAUCAGUUUCUUGUUUUACGGACGAAGAUUGUUUGUAAUGCUGAGACAGUUCCCAAUUGAAUCUAAAGGAAGAAGUAAGAAGUUAUACGAGGUCUAUACUCCGAGGAAUGCGCCUUAUGCUAAUGAGGAAAUUGAUGUGGUUCGUGAGCAAUGGUCUAUACUCCGAGGAAUGCGCCUUAUUAUUGGCCUGAGCGCGCU